This is a long non-coding RNA of Myotis brandtii (Brandt's bat), 325 nucleotides long. RefSeq lists it as uncharacterized. Lineage: Eukaryota; Metazoa; Chordata; Mammalia; Chiroptera; Vespertilionidae. The transcript has 3 exons. The record is from RefSeq and is a predicted model, not a curated record.
GAAAGACCGAAUUGGAAAAAUGCGAAUGCCGAGGCAUAGAUGAGCAUACUCCUUAUUGGACUUAGACCCCAGAAGAGAAAGGACUAAACAUGACACUACCAUCUGUGAUUUCAAGAGCAUGCAGGUUCUUCACACCUUACAUGAGCUGCUCUUGUGGAGACAAAAAUGGACCCUCAAACCUGCCUUCAUAUCAAAUAUCAGGAAGCUUCCAGAGACAUGGAGCAGAUGUUGGGAAGAGGCUCAGGGGUUCAAGUUCCCUGGAAGGGAAAUGCAAGCCUGGGAGUAUUACGUAGAGACUUAUUUGUUCCUUUUAGGAGCUAAGGCC